This 459-nucleotide ribosomal RNA is filed under the name uncultured bacterium. RNAcentral describes it as "partial 16S ribosomal RNA". It matches the Rfam family "Bacterial small subunit ribosomal RNA", at positions 339 to 795 of the family's 1533-position model. The record is from RNAcentral.
CUACGGGCGGCUGCAGUGAGGAAUAUUGGUCAAUGGGCGCGAGCCUGAACCAGCCAUCCCGCGUGCAGGAUGACGGCCCUAUGGGUUGUAAACUGCUUUUCUAUGCCAAGAAACCUGAUUACGUGUAAUCAGUUGCCGGUAGCAUAGGAAUAAGCAUCGGCUAACUCCGUGCCAGCAGCCGCGGUAAUACGGAGGAUGCAAGCGUUAUCCGGAUUCAUUGGGUUUAAAGGGUGCGCAGGUGGGCUUGUAAGUCAGUGGUGAAAUGCUGCCGCUUAACGGUAGAACUGCCAUUGAUACUGGGAGUCUUGAGUAUGGUUGAGGUAGGCGGAAUGUGUUGUGUAGCGGUGAAAUGCAUAGAUAUGACACAGAACGCCAAUUGCGAAGGCAGCUUACUAAGCCAUUACUGACGCUGAGGCACGAAAGCGUGGGGAGCGAACAGGAUUAGAUACCCUAGUAGUC